Molecule: non-coding RNA, 8786 nt
Organism: Xyrichtys novacula (pearly razorfish)
Lineage: Eukaryota; Metazoa; Chordata; Actinopteri; Labriformes; Labridae
Source: the annotation of a GenBank genome assembly
CCCUGAAAAAAAUCAAAUUUCAAACACAACUUGACUGCUCAUUUCUCCAAAAGACAACCAUGAAGCUCCAUCCAAACCUGAAGCAGGCAGUUGGUGCAUGUGUACAGUAACCUGAGGGGAGUGAGGUGACUGCUUCUGAGGAGAACAUGAGCCGUGAAGAUUCACCUUGGAGCUAGAACAGGGACGUGCACAUGAUAAUACAGGGGCAGGGGCUCAAGUUUUUUCCAGUUGUUUAUACAAUAUGGAAAUUAAUGUGAAAUUAAAAACAAAGUAUUAAUAGAAAGGUAAUGACUGUCCUGUGUAGGUGACAGUGAUAUCCAAUAGGCUAGGCACUCACGAGGCUGGCUGUGGCAAGUGUAAGUGAAAGCAACACGCACUGGCAGGAAGAACAGCAAACGCCGAUGAAGGAAAAGGGUCUUUGCAGUGAUGGGCGUUACCAGAGAGGGCGAUGGCCAGAGGACACGAAUGGGACGGGGAGGCAGCGCGUUGGGGGGGGGGGGGGGGGGUGCGACACGGCUCGGGCCCGCCAGUGCCCCAACGGGGCCCUAGUUAGGGCCCGAGCGUAACUGCUAAGCAGCUGCGAGAGCCCUCUUGUUCCUGCAUGUUUCCUUCUUUCGUUAUUAUUUUUCCUCCGCUUUAAACUGGAAAAUGGCCCACUUCCCACUGGCGAAAACUCAGGAAAUUUGGCAGGACGACCGGGCCUGGUGAAAAAUUCGAUAUUCUAAAGUCGCCCGAACAAUAAAAUGCAAAAUGGCUCCAUAGCGCCCCCUAAGGUGAAAAUUCACAUGACGGCUGUACGCUUUGUCAUAUUGACACAAAAAUUGACACACACAUGUAUCUUAAUAAGAUCUACAAAAAAGUCAGUGCGGGCGUAUCUGUCAAAUGUACGGUUAAUGGGUUAUUUUGCAUUUUUUGCAGAUCUGCACACAUUGGAAUUUCGCUAACUCCUCCGAAGGCUUUCGUUCGACCGGCACCACAUUUGCGCAGGCCAAUCUACCCCCCAUGGCCAUUAAAAGUUGUACAAAUCAUGACGCUGCACCCCAAGGUUUAGGUUCUAGGGGGCGCCAAAGAUAACCCAAAAUCCACAUUCUUAAAAGUCUUUUAACUUUUUAUUUUUGUCCUCACUGCCCUCCAAGUUUUCUAGGAUGAUGCAAUGUCCAGCCAUCAACACAUUUGUGAAGGAAUUUUUACUCCCCAAAAGAGCGCCCCCCCAUGGCAGGAGAAAAAAGUCAAUUUUUUCUUGUCCCCUUACAUGAAAAUACACAUUGUUGAGUGUCAUGCCUGAACGCUUUGUCAUAUUGACACAAAAAUUGAAAAUCACGUGUAUCUCAAUUAGAUCUACGAAAAAGUCAAAAAGCGCGUAUCUGUAUAAUGUACGGUUAAAGGGCUAUUUCGCAUUUUUUGCCGAUUCGCACACAUUGGAAUGUGGCUAUCUCCUCCUAAGGCUUUCGUCCCACCGAUACCAAAUUUGCUCAGGGCAAUCUACACCCCAUGCCCAUUCAAAGUUGUAAAAAUCAUGACGCUGCACCCCACGGUUUACGUUCUAGGGGGCACCAAAGAUGACCCAAAAAUCCACAUUCUUAAAAGUCAUUUUGGCCACUGCAGGAGUACAGAGUACUGCAGUUCUAGGGGGCGCCAAAGAUGACCCAAAAAUCCACAUUCUUAAAAGUCUUUUUGGCCACUGCAGGAGUACAGAGUACUGCAGGAUACACACACAUAUAACACACACACACACACACACACACACACACACACACACACACACACACACACACACACUCAGAGUCUGUUUUUUAGCACCUGCAAAAACAUGCUGUUUACAUAUUUGACAAGAAUGCAGAGGCUUCCUUUUGCCCCUGAAAAAAAUCAGAUUUCAAACACAACUUGACUGUUCAUUUCUCCAAAAGACAACCAUGAAGCUCCAUCCAAACCUGAAGCAGAUAGUUGGUGCAUGUGUACAGUAACCUGAGGGGAGUGAGGUGACUAUUUCUGAGGAGAACAUGAGCAGUGAAGAUUCACCUUGGAGCUAGAACAGGGACGUGCACAUGAUUAUACAGGGGCAGGGGCUCAAGUUUUUUCCAGUCAUUUAUACAAUAUGGAAAUUAAUGUGAAAUUAAAACACAAAUAUGUGUGAUGAACUGUUUUUAAAACUUAAACUUCAAAUAAAAAUUGUAAACUUCAAAACAUAUGCAAAUUUUUAACAAAGAACAUAGUAAUUUACCUCUAUUUACAUCAAAAUGCAGGCAAUGGCCCAGGCGUUCUUUGUAAAAUUAUUUACAAAACACUGUAUAGUCUCACAAAUGUCACUUUUUAUUUAUGCCACUACAAAAAAACAUGAUGUAAAUGAUGCAUGAUGUAAAACAUGAUGUAAAAAACUUGUGUAGAUCCUCCUCUAUGUCAGUCCAUGUGUAAUUUUUCCAUAAUUCUUUGUUUUUUGCAGCAUUUUUGUUAGUGUAACUGCAGAUUGUGCUGACAGUCUAUGGCAAAAAAAACAAAAACUGAAAAUGCCUCAACAUGAACCCCUGGUGGUCUCUGAGGGUGAAACCUGCUAACUGCUGCAGCUCUGUCAGCUUCAGUCUCCCAUGCAGAGCUCGGAGCGCAUGUGUGGCUCUGCACCCUUAGCAGCGUUGCUAACUCCUCAGUAAGGAAAGCCUGCUUCAUGUCAGAGUCUCUAAACUCCAGAAGAAGUCGAUAAAAGUCCCUUUCUUUCUAAAAAAAGUCGUUAGGGGGUCUGAAAAGUCAUUGAAUCUAACAACAAAGUCGCUAGGUUUGCAACUACGUGUCCCAGACUGCAUCCCUGCUGAGAGUCCCUCCCUCCCUUCUCAUGUUGCAGGAAGAACGUAAGCGCCCGCCCCUUGUCAAUCAGUCACCAUAUAAUUUUGGAUUGGUUGUUGUGGUGAAGUUUUCCACCAAUAGGAGAGAUGUUGUGGUGUGUUUUUUUUUCUUUUGGCAAGCCUUUUCCGCCUGUAAGACCUGUCGCUAAUGUGUGCAUGCUAUGUUUUCCUGUCUCAUACAGCGCGAUCGAGCGCCGAACGUGAUCAAAAUAAGCAGAAAAAAAGUAUCGCGGACAUAAUUUAUCAUAACUCUGGUUUUAUUUGGCCUAUCAACACAAUUUAAAAACUGGUAUAUAGGUUGAGGUCCUCACUUUUGAGAUAAGUUGAAACGGAGAGUCAACGAGGCUCCGUCUUGCAGCUACAUCCGGUUAAAUAUAUCAUGUGACUUGAACGCUGGGGAGCGUCAAUCGAAUCGAAUCAAACCUAACUCUCAGAUGAAUCUUCAAAAUUCACCUCAGAAAUAUGCUUAUUAUUCUUCUCAGAGUACUGCAGGAUACACACACACACACACACACACACACACACACACACACACACACACACACACACACACACACACACACACACUCAGAGUCUGUUUUUUAGCACCUGCAAAAACAUGCUAUUUACAUAUUUGACAAGAAUGCAGAGGCUUCCUUUUGCCCCUGAAAAAAAUCAAAUUUCAAACACAACUUGACUGCUCAUUUCUCCAAAAGACAACCAUGAAGCUCCAUCCAAACCUGAAGCAGGCAGUUGGUGCAUGUGUACAGUAACCUGAGGGGAGUGAGGUGACUGCUUCUGAGGAGAACAUGAGCAGUGAAGAUUCACCUUGGAGCUAGAACAGAGACAUGCACAUGAUUAUACAGGGGCAGGGGCUCAAGUUUUUUCCAGUCGUUUAUACAAUAUGGAAAUUAAUGUGAAAUUAAAAAACAAAGUAUGACUGUCCUGUGUAGGUGACAGUGAUAUCCAAUAGGCUAGGCACUCACGAGGCUGGCUGUGGCAAGUGUAAGUGAAAGCAACACGCACUGGCAGGAAGAACAGCAAACGCUGAUGAAGGAAAAGGGUCUUUGCAGUGAUGGGCGUUACCAGAGAGGGCGAUGGCCAGAGGACACAAAUGGGACGGGAAGGCAGCACGUUGGGGGGGGGGGGGAGGGACACGGCUCGGGCCCGCCAGUGCCCCAACGGGGCCCUAGUUUCUUCUUUUUCCUCCCCUUUGAACUGGAAAAUGGCCCACUUCCCACUGGCGAAAACUCAUGAAAUUUGGCAGGAUGACCGGGCCUGGUGAAAAAUUUGAUAUUCCGAAGUCGCCCAAACAAGAAAAUGCAAAAUGGCUCCAUAGCGCCCCCUAAGGUGAAAAUUCACACUAUUGACUGUCACGCCUUUACGCUUUGUCAUAUUGACACAAAAAUUGACACACACAUGUAUCUCAAUAAGAUCUACAAAAAAGUCAGUGCGGGCGUAUCUGUCAAAUGUACGGUUAAAGGGUUAUUGCGCAUUUUUUGCUGACCCGCACACAUUGGAAUUUCGCUAACUCCUCCUAAGGCUGGCGUUCCACCGGCACCACAUUUGCUCAGGCCAAUCUACACCCCAUGGCCAUUAAAAGUUAUUCAAAUCAUGACGCUGCACCCCACGGUUUAGGUUCUAGGGGGCGCCAAAGAUAACCCUAAAAUCCACAUAUUUAAAAGUCUUAUAACUUUUUAUUUUUGUCCUCACUGGCCUCCAAGUUUUCUAGGAUGAUGCAAUGUCCAGCCAUCAACACAUUUGUGAAGGAAUUUUUACUCCCCAAAAGAGCGCCCCCCCAUGGCAGGAGAAAAAAGUCCAUUUUUUCUUGUCCCAUAAGGUGAAAAAACACAUUGUUGACUGUCAUACCUGUACGCUUUGUCAUAUUGACACAAAAUUUGACAAUCACAUGUAUCUCAAUAAGAUCUACGAAAAAGUCAAUGCGCGCGUAUCUGUAAAAUGUACGGUUAAAGGGCUAUUUUGCAUUUUUUGCCGAUUCGCACACAUUGGAAUGUGGCUAACUCCUCCUAAGGCUUUCGUCCCACUGACACCAAAUUUGCUCAGGCCAAUCUACACCCCAUGGCCAUUCAAAGUUGUAAAAAUCAUGACGCUGCACCCCACGGUUUACGUUCUAGGGGGCGCCAAAGAUGACCCAAAUAUCCACAUUCUUAAAAGAAUCCACAUCCCCCCCCCCCUCAUCCCCCAACCCUCAUGGCAGGAGAAACAGUCAAGUUUUUCCUGCCCAUCACUCAAUGGCUCAAUCGCAUCACUCUCCCGGCAACACCGUAACAAGGAGCAACUUGCCGUUUGGAUAUAUCCUAGCUGUGUUUGUGCCCUCACUCAUGGUCCAGACUUUUUUCAAAUAGGACAUGUAGUUUGUCUGCAGCGAGUGUUUUGGUAGAAACUGCGCCUCCCAUUCAUUAUAAUGGGAAAUGACCACAGACAAGUGCGCACACCAUCUUUGGACCUUGAGUGUGACGCGAUCGGGAGGGGGAGGCGGUCGCGCUGGGGGCGGCGCAACGCGGCUCGGGCCCGACAGUGCCCCACCGGGGCCCUAGUUAGGGCCCGAGCCAGCUGCAGAGCAGCCGGGCGUAGAGCCCUAUUAUUCCUGUAUAGGUUUUUCUUUCUUCUUUCUUUAGGGCCCGAGCCAGCUGCAGAGCAGCCGGGCGUAGGCCCUGUUAUUCCUGUAGGGGUUUUUCUUUGUUUCUUUCUUUCUUCUUUUUCCUCCCCUUUGAACUGGAAAAUGGCCCACUUCCCACUGGCGAAAACUCAGGAAAUUUGGCAGGACGACCGGGCCUGGUGAAAAAUUUGAUAUUCCGAAGUCGCCCAAACAAGAAAAUGCAAAAUGGCUCCAUAGCGCCCCCUAAGGUGAAAAUUCACACUAUUGACUGUCACGCCUGUACGCUUUGUCAAAAUGACACAAAAAUUGACACACACAUGUAUCUCAAUAAGAUCUACAAAAAAGUCAGUGCGGGCGUAUCUGUCAAAUGUACGGUUAAAGGGUUAUUUCGCAUUUUUUGCCGAUCCGCACACAUUGGAAUUUCGCUAACUCCUCCGAAGGCUUUCGUUCCACCGGCACCACAUUUGCUCAGGCCAAUCUACACCCCAUGGCCACUAAAAGUUAUUCAAAUCAUGACGCUGCACCCCACGGUUUAGGUUCUAGGGGGCGCCAAAGAUAACCCUAAAAUCCACAUUUUUAAAAGUCUUAUAACUUUUUAUUUUUGCCCUCACUGGCCUCCAAGUUUUCUAGGAUGAUGCAAUGUCCAGCCAUCAACACAUUUGUGAAGGAAUUUUUACUCCCCAAAAGAGCGCCCCCCCAUGGCAGGAGAAAAAAGUCCAUUUUUUUCUUGUCCCCUAAGGUGAAAAUACACAUUGUUGAGUGUCACGCCUGUACGCUUUGUCAAAAUGACACAAAAAUUGACACACACAUGUAUCUCAAUAAGAUCUACAAAAAAGUCCAUGCGCGCGUAUCUGUCUAAUGUACGGUUAAAGGGUUAUUCGGCAUUUUUUGCCGAUUCGCACACAUUGGAAUUUCGCUAACUCCUCCGAAGGCUUUCGUUCCACCGGCACCACAUUUGCUCAGGCCAAAUUACACCCCAUGGCCAUUAAAAGUUAUUCAAAUCAUGACGCUGCACCCCACGGUUUACGUUCUAGGGGGCGCCAAAGAUAACCCAAAAAUCCACAUUUUUAAAAGUCUUAUAACUUUUUAUUUUUGUCCUCACUGGCCUCCAAGUUUUCUAGGAUGAUGCAAUGUCCAGCCAUCAACACAUUUGUGAAGGAAUUUUUACUCCCCAAAAGAGCGCCCCCCCAUGGCAGGAGAAAAAAGUCCAUUUUUUCUUGUCCCCUAAGGUGAAAAUACACAUUGUUGACUGUCACGCCUGUACGCUUUGGCAAAAUGACACAAAAAUUGACAAUCAUGUGUAUCUCAAUUAGGUCUACGAAAAAGUCAAAGAGCGCGUAUCUGUAUAAUGUACGGUAAAAGGGCUAUUUUGCAUUUUUUGCCGAUUCGCACACAUUGGAAUUUCGCUAACUCCUCCUAAGGCUUUCGUCCCACUGACACCAAAUUUGCCCAGGCCAAUCUACACUCCAUGGCCAUUCAAAGUUGUAAAAAUCAUGACGCUGCACCCCACGGUUUACGUUUUAGGGGGCGCCAAAGAUGACCCAAAUAUACAUUACAGUAGACAAUGUAGUUUUGCCCACUGAGUGGCGCCAAAGGGACUUGUCUGUGGAGUCUGUGAGUCACUAUUGGCCGUUUUUGACUACUUUAGAUUUUACCUUUAUAUUUCCUCUUACAAAAUUUUUACCUUGCCUUGCCUGGUAUCAUUUUUUUCAGCACAACCUCACCUGUGUCAAUUUACAGUUAUUUUAUCAUUUUGACAUACUAUAUUUACACAUUGGACCCAAAUUCACACACAAAACAUAAAAUCCGAGUGGAAAAAAGUAAUGUUUUUACUGUGAAAACCACAAAUAUGUGUGAUGAACUGUUUUUAAAACUUAAACUUCAAAUAAAAAUUGUAAACUUCAAAACAUAUGCAAAUUUUUAACAAAGAACAUAGUGAUUUACCUCUAUUUACAUCAAAAUGCAGGCAAUGGCCCAGGCGUUCUUUGUAAAAUUAUUUACAAAACACUGUAUAGUCUCACAAAUGUCACUUUUUAUUUAUGCCACUACAAAAAAACAUGAUGUAAAUGAUGCAUGAUGUAAAACAUGAUGUAAAAAACUUGUGUAGAUCCUCCUCUAUGUCAGUCCAUGUGUAAUUUUUCCAUAAUUCUUUGUUUUUUGCAGCAUUUUUGUUAGUGUAACUGCAGAUUGUGCUGACAGUGUCUAUGGCAAAAAAAAAAAAAAAAUUAAAAUGCCUCAACAUGAACCCCUGGUGGUCUCUGAGGGUGAAACCUGCUAACUGCUGCAGCUCUGUCAGCUUCAGUCUCCCAUGCAGAGCUCGGAGCGCAUGUGUGGCUCUGCACCCUUAGCAGCGUUGCUAACUCCUCAGUAAGGAAAGCCUGCUUCAUGUCAGAGUCUCUAAACUCCAGAAGAAGUCGAUAAAAGUCCCUUUCUUUCUAAAAAAAAGUCGUUAGGGGGUCUGAAAAGUCAUUGAAUCUAACAACAAAGUCGCUAGGUUUGCAACUACGUGUCCCAGACUGCAUCCCUGCUGAGAGUCCCUCCCUCCCUUCUCAUGUUGCAGGAAGAACGUAAGCGCCCUCCCCUUGUCAAUCAGUCACCAUAUAAUUUUGGAUUGGUUGUUGUGGUGAAGUUUUCCACCAAUAGGAGAGAUGUUGUGGUGUGUUUUUUUUUUCUUUUGGCAAGCCUUUUCCGCCUGUAAGACCUGUCGCUAAUGUCUGCAUGCUAUGUUUUCCUGUCUCAUACAGCGCGAUCGAGCGCCGAACGUGAUCAAAAUAAGCAGAAAAAAAGUAUCGCGGACAUAAUUUAUCAUAACUCUGGUUUUAUUUGGCCUAUCAACACAAUUUAAAAACUGGUAUAUAGGUUGAGGUCCUCACUUUUGAGAUAAGUUGAAACGGAGAGUCAACGAGGCUCCGUCUUGCAGCUACAUCCGGUUAAAUAUGUCAUGUGACUUGAACGCACACACAGACACACACACACGCACACACACACACACACUCAGAGUCUGGUUUUUAGCACCUGCAAAAACAUGCUAUUUACAUAUUUGACAAGAAUGCAGAGGCUCCUUUUGCCCCUGAAAAAAAUCAAAUUUCAAACACAACUUGACUGGUCAUUUCUCCAGAAGACAACCAUGAAGCUCCAUCCAAACCUGAAGCAGGCAGUUGGUGCAUGUGUACAGUAACCUGAGGGGAGUGAGGUGAGUGCUUCUGAGGAGAACAUGAGCAGUGAAGAUUCACCUUGGAGCUAGAACAGAGACAUGCACAUGAUUAUACAGGGGCAGGGGCUCAAGUUUUUUCCAGUCGUUUAUACAAUAUGGAAAUUAAUGUGAAAUUAAAACACAAAGUAUUAAUAGAAAG